CGGUCCUACGGGAGGCAGCAGUGAGGAAUAUUGGUCAAUGGACGAGAGUCUGAACCAGCCAAGUAGCGUGAAGUAUGACUGCCCUAUGGGUUGUAAACUUCUUUUAUAUGUGAAUAAAAUGUUCCACGUGUGGGAUUUUGUAUGUACCAUAUAAAUAAGGAUCGGCUAACUCCGUGCCAGCAGCCGCGGUAAUACGGAGGAUCCGAUCGUUAUCCGGAUUUAUUGGGUUU
RNAcentral lists this ribosomal RNA (230 nucleotides) under uncultured bacterium. RNAcentral describes it as "partial 16S ribosomal RNA". It matches the Rfam family "Bacterial small subunit ribosomal RNA", at positions 334 to 561 of the family's 1533-position model. The record is from RNAcentral.